This 305-nucleotide ribosomal RNA is filed under the name uncultured soil bacterium. RNAcentral describes it as "bacterial SSU rRNA". It matches the Rfam family "Bacterial small subunit ribosomal RNA", at positions 26 to 315 of the family's 1533-position model. The record is from RNAcentral.
AGGAUGAACGCUGGCGGCGUGCUUAACACAUGCAAGUCGAACGAUGAAGGCUGGAGCUUGCUCUGGCUGGAUUAGUGGCGAAGGGUGAGUAACACGUGAGUAACCUGCCCCAGACUCUGGGAUAAGCGCUGGAAACGGCGUCUAAUACCGGAUACGAGCUUCCACCGCAUGGUGAGGAGCUAGGAAAGUAAUUUCGGUCGUGGGAUGGACUCGCGGCCUAUCAGUCUUGGUUGGUGAGGUAAUGGCUCACCGAAGGCCGACGGACGGUAGGCCGGCCUGGAGGAGGGUGACGUCGGACCACGCGU